GGGCUGGGCUCAGUGGUAAAGUGCUUACCUAGCACGCAUGAGGCCCUGCGUUCCAUCCUCAGCAUCACA
Molecule: transfer RNA, 69 nt
Filed under: Marmota monax (woodchuck)
Lineage: Eukaryota; Metazoa; Chordata; Mammalia; Rodentia; Sciuridae
Description: tRNA.Ala
Source: RNAcentral